AAGCCUUUAGUUUAGUCACGCAGGUGAACGCGAGCUCCAUUCCCUUUCCUUUCUAAUGAAAACAGUAUUGUCCGGUUGAAACAUUAUUGAAUAUUUAUGAUAAAAACACCCCAAGGAUUGAUUAGAAACAUUAUUUGACAUGUUUCUACGAACUCAAAUGGAACUUUUGUGACUUUUCAUCUAGACUUUGUGCCUGCACUUUGUGCAUUUGGAUUACUGGACUAAACGCGCGAACAAAAAGGAGGUAUUUGGACAUAAAGAUGAACUUUAUCGAACAAAAACAAACAUUUGUCUAACAUGGAGACCUGGAAGUGCCAUCAGAUGAAGAUCAUCAAAGAUAAUCAGUUUGAAGCACCAUCACUUCUUGUGGGUUGCAGAGCUGAUCCAAAUGAUUGCUGCCAGUAUAACAGUGUCCUUUCUGGUGAUGGGACCUGCUAUGAAGCACACAAGUACAUUGAUAGCCUUGUGAACUCACACUGGAACACCAAGUUGGAAUGGAUGUCUAAGGUCUGGGAGAGGACAUUGCCACAGAGCUUCCACAGACGCAAUUCAAGAAGGCU
RNAcentral lists this long non-coding RNA (560 nucleotides) under Salmo salar (Atlantic salmon). RNAcentral describes it as "lncRNA (ENSSSAG00000113391.1)". The record is from RNAcentral. Lineage: Eukaryota; Metazoa; Chordata; Actinopteri; Salmoniformes; Salmonidae.